RNAcentral lists this ribosomal RNA (466 nucleotides) under uncultured bacterium. RNAcentral's name for it is "partial 16S ribosomal RNA". It matches the Rfam family "Bacterial small subunit ribosomal RNA", at positions 28 to 507 of the family's 1533-position model. The record is from RNAcentral.
GAUGAACGCUGGCGGCGUGCUUAACACAUGCAAGUCGAACGAUGAAGCUCAGCUUGCUGGGUGGAUUAGUGGCGAACGGGUGAGUAACACGUGGGUAACCUGCCCUUAACUCUGGGAUAAGCCUGGGAAACUAGGUCUAAUACCGGAUAGGAGCGCCUACCGCAUGGUGGGUGUUGGAAAGAUUUAUCGGUUUUGGAUAGACUCGCGGCCUAUCAGCUUGUUGGUGAGGUAAUGGCUCACCAAGGCGACGACGGGUAGCCGGCCUGAGAGGGUGACCGGCCACACUGGGACUGAGACACGGCCCAGACUCCUACGGGAGGCAGCAGUGGGGAAUAUUGCACAAUGGGCGAAAGCCUGAUGCAGCGACGCCGCGUGAGGGAUGACGGCCUUCGGGUUGUAAACCUCUUUCAGUAGGGAAGAAGCGAAAGUGACGGUACCUGCAGAAGAAGCACCGGCUAACUACGUG